CCUACGGGCGGCUGCAGUGGGGAAUAUUGGACAAUGGGCGAAAGCCUGAUCCAGCCAUGCCGCGUGUGUGAAGAAGGCCUUCGGGUUGUAAAGCACUUUCAGUGGGGAAGAAAGCCUUGGGGCUAAUACCCUCGAGGAAGGACAUCACCCACAGAAGAAGCACCGGCUAACUCCGUGCCAGCAGCCGCGGUAAUACGGAGGGUGCGAGCGUUAAUCGGAAUUACUGGGCGUAAAGCGCGCGUAGGCGGUCUGAUAAGCCGGUUGUGAAAGCCCCGGGCUCAACCUGGGAACGGCAUCCGGAACUGUCAGGCUAGAGUGCAGGAGAGGAAGGCAGAAUUCCCGGUGUAGCGGUGAAAUGCGUAGAGAUCGGGAGGAAUACCAGUGGCGAAGGCGGCCUUCUGGACUGACACUGACGCUGAGGUGCGAAAGCGUGGGUAGCAAACAGGAUUAGAUACCCCGGUAGUC
RNAcentral lists this ribosomal RNA (465 nucleotides) under Vreelandella stevensii. RNAcentral's name for it is "partial 16S ribosomal RNA". It matches the Rfam family "Bacterial small subunit ribosomal RNA", at positions 338 to 795 of the family's 1533-position model. The record is from RNAcentral. Lineage: Bacteria; Pseudomonadati; Pseudomonadota; Gammaproteobacteria; Oceanospirillales; Halomonadaceae.